This 274-nucleotide ribosomal RNA is filed under the name uncultured bacterium. RNAcentral's name for it is "partial 16S ribosomal RNA". It matches the Rfam family "Bacterial small subunit ribosomal RNA", at positions 523 to 796 of the family's 1533-position model. The record is from RNAcentral.
AUACGGAGGGUGCAAGCGUUACGCGGAAUCACUGGGCGUAAAGCGCGCGCAGGCGGUCUUUUAAGUUGGAUGUGAAAGCCUACGGCUCAACCGUAGAACUGCAUCCAAAACUAUUAGACUAGAGUGUGGGAGAGGAAGAUGGAAUUAGUUGUGUAGGGGUAAAAUCCGUAGAGAUAACUAGGAAUACCAAAAGCGAAGGCAAUCUUCUGGAACACUACUGACGCUGAGGCGCGAAAGCGUGGGGAGCAAACAGGAUUAGAAACCCCAGUAGUCC